CCUACGGGAGACAGCAGUGAGGAAUAUUGGUCAAUGGCCGGAAGUCUGAACCAGCCAAGUCGCGUGCGGGACGACUGCUCUAUGGGUUGUAAACCUCUUUUGUAAGAGUAGAAACACUGCUACGUGUAGCAGUAUGACAGUACCUUACGAAUAAGCAUCGGCUAACUCCGUGCCAGCAGCCGCGGUAAUACGGAGGAUGCGAGCGUUAUCCGGAUUUAUUGGGGUUAAAGGGUGCGUAGACGGUGGUUUAAGUUAGUGGUUAAACGCCGGGGGUCCACUUUGAUUUGCCAUUAAUACUGUAAGACUCGAGUGCAGACGAGGUAGGCGGAAGGAAUGGAGUAGCGGUGAAAUGCUUAGAUAUAACUUAGAACUCCGAGUGCGAAGGCAGCUUAACAGGCUACGACUGACGCUGAGGCACGAGAGCGUGGGUAGCGAACAGGAUUAGAUACCCGGGUAGUC
RNAcentral lists this ribosomal RNA (459 nucleotides) under uncultured bacterium. RNAcentral describes it as "partial 16S ribosomal RNA". It matches the Rfam family "Bacterial small subunit ribosomal RNA", at positions 338 to 795 of the family's 1533-position model. The record is from RNAcentral.